Molecule: ribosomal RNA, 505 nt
Filed under: uncultured bacterium
Lineage: Bacteria
Description: partial 16S ribosomal RNA
Rfam family: Bacterial small subunit ribosomal RNA
Source: RNAcentral
GACGAACGCUGGCGGCGUGCCUAAUACAUGCAAGUAGAACGCACAGUUCAUACAGUGGCUUGCUCCACCAUAGACCGCGAGUUGCGAAGGGGUGAGUACCGCGUAGGCAACCAGACAGGAAUCGUGGUAUAAGUAGUGGAAACGAUAGCAAAUACCGCAUCAUAUUAAUUAUCGCAUGAUAAUUAAGCGAAAGGUGCAAUUGCACCACUACCUGAUGGCCGUGCGUUGUAUUAGCUAGUAGGUGAGGUAGCGGCUCACCUAGGCGAGGAUACAUAGCCGACCGGAGAGGGUGAUCGGCCACACUGGGACUGGGACACGGCCCAGACUCCUACGGGAGGCAGCAGUAGGGAAUCUUCGGCAAUGGACGAAAGUCUGACCGAGCAACGCCGCGUGAGUGAAGAAGGUUUUCGGAUCGCAAAGCUCUGUUGUAAGAGAAGAACGGGUGUGAGAGUGGAAAGUUCACACUGUGACGGUAUCUUACCAGAAAGGGACGGCUAACUACGUG